RNAcentral lists this transfer RNA (72 nucleotides) under Tistrella mobilis KA081020-065. It matches the Rfam family "tRNA". Rfam says of the family: Transfer RNA (tRNA) molecules are approximately 80 nucleotides in length. Their secondary structure includes four short double-helical elements and three loops (D, anti-codon, and T loops). Lineage: Bacteria; Pseudomonadati; Pseudomonadota; Alphaproteobacteria; Geminicoccales; Geminicoccaceae. The record is from Rfam by way of RNAcentral. RNAcentral also lists the same sequence under 2 other names.
GCGGGCGUAGUUCAGCGGUAGAACGUCAGCUUCCCAAGCUGAAUGUCGUCGGUUCGAUCCCGAUCGCCCGCU